RNAcentral lists this ribosomal RNA (522 nucleotides) under uncultured bacterium. RNAcentral's name for it is "bacterial SSU rRNA". It matches the Rfam family "Bacterial small subunit ribosomal RNA", at positions 988 to 1509 of the family's 1533-position model. The record is from RNAcentral.
CCAGAGAACUUAGCAGAGAUGCUUUGGUGCCUUCGGGAACUCGUGAGACAGGUGCUGCAUGGCUGUCGUCAGCUCGUGUUGUGAAAUGUUGGGUUAAGUCCCGCAACGAGCGCAACCCUUAUCCUUUGUUGCCAGCGGCUCGGCCGGGAACUCAAAGGAGACUGCCGGCGAUAAACCGGAGGAAGGUGGGGAUGACGUCAAGUCAUCAUGGCCCUUACGGCCAGGGCUACACACGUGCUACAAUGGCGCAUACAAAGAGAAGCGACCUCGCGAGAGCAAGCGGACCUCACAAAGUGCGUCGUAGUCCGGAUUGGAGUCUGCAACUCGACUCCAUGAAGUCGGAAUCGCUAGUAAUCGUAGAUCAGAAUGCUACGGUGAAUACGUUCCCGGGCCUUGUACACACCGCCCGUCACACCAUGGGAGUGGGUUGCAAAAGAAGUAGGUAGCUUAACCUUCGGGAGGGCGCUUACCACUUUGUGAUUCAUGACUGGGGUGAAGUCGUAACAAGGUAAGCGUAGCGAG